Molecule: ribosomal RNA, 489 nt
Filed under: uncultured bacterium
Lineage: Bacteria
Description: partial 16S ribosomal RNA
Rfam family: Bacterial small subunit ribosomal RNA
Source: RNAcentral
GAUGAACGCUAGCGGCAGGCUUAAUACAUGCAAGUCGUGGGGCAGCAGGACUGUAGCACUACAGUUGCUGGCGACCGGCAAACGGGUGCGGAACACGUACGCAACUUACCCUGAACUGGGGGAUAGCACGGGGAAACCCGUAUUAAUACCCCGUAAUAUAAUGGAGUGGCAUCACUUUAUUAUUAAAGCUCCGGCGGUUCGGGCUGGGCGUGCGGGUGAUUAGGUAGUUGGUUGAGGUAACGGCUCACCAAGCCUACGAUCAGUAACUGGUGUGAGGGCACCACCAGGCACACGGGCACGGAGACACGGGCCCGGAUACUACGGGAGGCAGCAGUAAGGAAUAUUGGGCAAUGGAGGCAACUCUGACCCAGCCAUGCCGCGUGGAGGAUGCCGGCCCUCUGGGUUGUAAACUUCUUUUAUAGGGGACGAAACCUGUGUAUUCUUACGCAGUUGACGGUACCCGAUGAAUAAGCACCGGCUAACUCCGUG